This 759-nucleotide ribosomal RNA is filed under the name uncultured bacterium. RNAcentral describes it as "bacterial SSU rRNA". It matches the Rfam family "Bacterial small subunit ribosomal RNA", at positions 8 to 794 of the family's 1533-position model. The record is from RNAcentral.
AGAGUUUGAUCMSNSUGGCUCAGGAUGAACGCUGGCGGCGUGCCUAACACAUGCAAGUCGAGCGAUCUCUUCGGAGAGAGCGGCGGACGGGUGAGUAACGCGUGGGUAACCUGCCCUGUACACACGGAUAACAUACCGAAAGGUAUGCUAAUACGGGAUAACAUAUGAAAUUCGCAUGUUUUUCAUAUCAAAGCUUUUGCGGUACAGGAUGGACCCGCGUCUGAUUAGCUGGUUGGUGAGGUAACGGCUCACCAAGGCGACGAUCAGUAGCCGACCUGAGAGGGUGAUCGGCCACAUUGGAACUGAGACACGGUCCAAACUCCUACGGGAGGCAGCAGUGGGGAAUAUUGCACAAUGGGCGCAAGCCUGAUGCAGCAACGCCGCGUGAGCGAUGAAGGCCUUCGGGUCGUAAAGCUCUGUCCUCAAGGAAGAUAAUGACGGUACUUGAGGAGGAAGCCCCGGCUAACUACGUGCCAGCAGCCGCGGUAAUACGUAGGGGGCUAGCGUUAUCCGGAUUUACUGGGCGUAAAGGGUGCGUAGGCGGUCCUUCAAGUCAGGAGUCAAAGGCUACGGCUCAACCGUAGUAAGCUCCUGAUACUGUGGGACUUGAGUGCAGGAGAGGAAAGCGGAAUUCCUAGUGUAGCGGUGAAAUGCGUAGAUAUUAGGAGGAACACCAGUAGCGAAGGCGGCUUUCUGGACUGUAACUGACGCUGAGGCACGAAAGCGUGGGGAGCAAACAGGAUUAGAUACCCUGGUAGU